AUACGGAGGGUGCAAGCGUUACUCGGAAUCACUGGGCGUAAAGCGCGCGCAGGCGGCUUGAUAAGUUGGAUGUGAAAGCCUACGGCGCAACCGUAGAACUGCAUCCAAAACUGUCAAGCUAGAGUCUGGGAGGGGAAGAUGGAAUUAGUUGUGUAGGGGUAAAAUCCGUAGAGAUAACUAGGAAUACCAAAAGCGAAGGCGAUCUUCUGGAACAGUACUGACGCUGAGGCGCGAAAGCGUGGGGAGCAAACAGGAUUAGAAACCCUAGUAGUCC
RNAcentral lists this ribosomal RNA (274 nucleotides) under uncultured bacterium. Its description in RNAcentral is "partial 16S ribosomal RNA". It matches the Rfam family "Bacterial small subunit ribosomal RNA", at positions 523 to 796 of the family's 1533-position model. The record is from RNAcentral.